GACGAACGCUGGCGGCGUGCUUGACACAUGCAAGUCGAACGGGAAGGCCCUGCUUUUGUGGGGUGCUCGAGUGGCGAACGGGUGAGUAACACGUGAGUAACCUGCCCUUGACUUUGGGAUAACUUCAGGAAACUGGGGCUAAUACCGGAUAGGAGCUCCUGCUGCAUGGUGGGGGUUGGAAAGUUUCGGCGGUUGGGGAUGGACUCGCGGCUUAUCAGCUUGUUGGUGGGGUAGUGGCUUACCAAGGCUUUGACGGGUAGCCGGCCUGAGAGGGUGACCGGCCACAUUGGGACUGAGAUACGGCCCAGACUCCUACGGGAGGCAGCAGUGGGGAAUAUUGCACAAUGGGCGGAAGCCUGAUGCAGCAACGCCGCGUGCGGGAUGACGGCCUUCGGGUUGUAAACCGCUUUCGCCUGAGACGAAGCGUGAGUGACGGUAAUGGGUAAAGAAGCACCGGCUAACUACGUG
This 468-nucleotide ribosomal RNA is filed under the name uncultured bacterium. Its description in RNAcentral is "partial 16S ribosomal RNA". It matches the Rfam family "Bacterial small subunit ribosomal RNA", at positions 28 to 507 of the family's 1533-position model. The record is from RNAcentral.